Molecule: small nuclear RNA, 104 nt
Filed under: Sus scrofa (pig)
Lineage: Eukaryota; Metazoa; Chordata; Mammalia; Artiodactyla; Suidae
Source: RNAcentral
GUGCUUGUUUCAGCAGCACAUAUAUUAAAACUGGAAAAAAAAAAUAGAGUAUUAGCAAGGCUGCUGCACAAAAAUGGCAAAUUCACAAAGUGUCCCAUAUCUUU